RNAcentral lists this ribosomal RNA (503 nucleotides) under uncultured bacterium. RNAcentral describes it as "partial 16S ribosomal RNA". It matches the Rfam family "Bacterial small subunit ribosomal RNA", at positions 30 to 523 of the family's 1533-position model. The record is from RNAcentral.
AUUGAACGCUGGCGGCAGGCUUAACACAUGCAAGUCGAGCGGGGUGAUGGUGCUUGCACUAUCACUUAGCGGCGGACGGGUGAGUAAUGCUUAGGAAUCUGCCUAUUAGUGGGGGACAACAUCCCGAAAGGGAUGCUAAUACCGCAUACGUCCUACGGGAGAAAGCAGGGGAUCACUUGUGACUCUGCGCUAAGAGAUGAGCCUAAGUCGGAUUAGCUAGUGGGUGGGGUAAAGGCCUACCAAGGCGACGAUCUGUAGCGGGUCUGAGAGGAUGAUCCGCCACACUGGGGCUGAGACACGGCCCAGACUCCUACGGGAGGCAGCAGUGGGGAAUAUUGGACAAUGGGGGGAACCCUGAUCCAGCCAUGCCGCGUGUGUGAAGAAGGCCUUAUGGUUGUAAAGCACUUUAAGCGAGGAGGAGGCUCUUUUGGUUAAUACCCAAGAUGAGUGGACGUUACUCGCAGAAUAAGUACCGGCUAACUCUGUGCCAGCAGCCGCAGUAA